Molecule: ribosomal RNA, 330 nt
Filed under: uncultured Actinomycetes bacterium
Lineage: Bacteria; Bacillati; Actinomycetota; Actinomycetes
Description: bacterial SSU rRNA
Rfam family: Bacterial small subunit ribosomal RNA
Source: RNAcentral
GACGAACGCUGGCGGCGUGCUUAACACAUGCAAGUGGUGCGACGAACCAGGGCUUGCCCUGGGGCCAAGCCGCGAACGGGUGAGUAACACGUGAGUAACCUGCCCCGAUGACCGGGACAACCCGAGGAAACUCGGGCUAAUACCGGAUGUGGCGCACAGGCGUAAGCCUGUUCACUAAAGGAAGCUUCGGCCUCCGCAUUGGGAGGGGCUCGCGGCCCAUUAGCUUGUUGGUGGGGUAACGGCCUACCAAGGCAGCGAUGGGUAGCUGGUCUGAGAGGACGAUCAGCCACACUGGGACUGAGACACGGCCCAGACUCCUACGGGUGGCAG